RNAcentral lists this ribosomal RNA (639 nucleotides) under Fructilactobacillus fructivorans. RNAcentral's name for it is "bacterial SSU rRNA". It matches the Rfam family "Bacterial small subunit ribosomal RNA", at positions 57 to 652 of the family's 1533-position model. The record is from RNAcentral. Lineage: Bacteria; Bacillati; Bacillota; Bacilli; Lactobacillales; Lactobacillaceae.
GCAGUCGAACGAGCUGCGCCUAAUGAUAGUUGAUGCUUGCAUUAGCUUGACUUAAGUUAGCAGCGAGUGGCGAACUGGUGAGUAACACGUGGAUAACCUGCCCAGAAGAAGGGGAUAACACCUGGAAACAGAUGCUAAUACCGUAUAACAACGAAAACCACAUGGUUUUCGUUUGAAAGAUGGCCUUUGUGCUAUCGCUUUUGGAUGGAUCCGCGGCGCAUUAGCUAGUUGGUGAGAUAAAGGCUCACCAAGGCAAUGAUGCGUAGCCGACCUGAGAGGGUAAUCGGCCACAUUGGGACUGAGACACGGCCCAGACUCCUACGGGAGGCAGCAGUAGGGAAUCUUCCACAAUGGACGAAAGUCUGAUGGAGCAAUGCCGCGUGAGUGAAGAAGGGUUUCGGCUCGUAAAACUCUGUUGUUAGAGAAGAACGGGCGUGAGAGUAACUGCUCACGUCGCGACGGUAUCUAACCAGAAAGUCACGGCUAACUACGUGCCAGCAGCCGCGGUAAUACGUAGGUGGCAAGCGUUGUCCGGAUUUAUUGGGCGUAAAGCGAGCGCAGGCGGUCUUCUAAGUCUGAUGUGAAAGCCUUCGGCUUAACCGGAGAAGUGCAUCGGAAACUGGGAAACUUGAGUGCAGA